This 253-nucleotide ribosomal RNA is filed under the name uncultured bacterium. Its description in RNAcentral is "partial 16S ribosomal RNA". It matches the Rfam family "Bacterial small subunit ribosomal RNA", at positions 524 to 776 of the family's 1533-position model. The record is from RNAcentral.
UACGGAGGGCGCAAGCGUUGCUCGGAAUUACUGGGCGUAAAGCGCGUGCAGGCGGUCGAGUAAGUCGGUUGUGAAAUCCCCAGGCUCAACCUGGGAACCGCAUCCGAAACUGCUCGGCUAGAGUCCCGGAGAGGGAGGCGGAACUCCCAGUGUAGGGGUGAAAUCCGUAGAUAUUGGGAAGAACACCGGCGGCGAAAGCGGCCUCCUGGACGGUGACUGACGCUGAGACGCGAAAGCGUGGGGAGCAAACAGG